This 453-nucleotide ribosomal RNA is filed under the name uncultured bacterium. RNAcentral's name for it is "partial 16S ribosomal RNA". It matches the Rfam family "Bacterial small subunit ribosomal RNA", at positions 29 to 507 of the family's 1533-position model. The record is from RNAcentral.
AUGCACGCUGACAGAAUGCUUAACACAUGCAAGUCUACUUGAACUUCGGUUUGGGUGGCGGACGGGUGAGUAACGCGUAAAGAACUUGCCUCACAGUUAGGGACAACAUUUGGAAACGAAUGCUAAUACCUGAUAUUAUGAUUUUAGGGCAUCCUAGGAUUAUGAAAGCUAUAUGUGCUGUGAGAGAGCUUUGCGUCCCAUUAGCUAGUUGGAGAGGUAACGGCUCACCAAGGCGAUGAUGGGUAGCCGGCCUGAGAGGGUGAACGGCCACAAGGGGACUGAGACACGGCCCUUACUCCUACGGGAGGCAACAGUGGGGAAUAUUGGACAAUGGACCAAAAGUCUGAUCCAGCAAUUCUGUGUGCACGAUGACGUUUUUCGGAAUGUAAAGUGCUUUCAGUUGGGAAGAAAAAAAUGACGGUACCAACAGAAGAAGUGACGGCUAAAUACGUG